Silurus meridionalis is the source of this 419-nucleotide long non-coding RNA. RefSeq lists it as uncharacterized. The transcript is spliced from 2 exons. The record is from RefSeq and is a predicted model, not a curated record. NCBI's taxonomy places the organism in Eukaryota, Metazoa, Chordata, Actinopteri, Siluriformes, Siluridae.
GUUACAGUUAUUGUUAAAUAAUAAUUAAAAUCUAAUUGUGUGUUAAUAGUUGUCUCCCCCUAAUGGACGUCUUGAUAAUCAUAUAUUGUAGUGUUACCAUGUGACUAAUCAGAUGACCAACAAGGAAGUUAGCAUUUUCCAUGAUGUGCAGUUUUGAACAUGUGCUAUAGUGAAUCGGCAACAAUCCGUAUUCCUCCAUGGCCUUUGGUAGCUUCGUCGAUUUAGAGAUCCAGCAUUAGGAAGAUGCCAACUUUAACAGAUGUGCAGCGGGAGUAAACAGCAGCCAGGGUCAAGUGUGACUCAUAAAGAGAAGAUUGCCACUUAAAACUUUGCACAUAGUACUUCAGCUAUGUUUACCCUGCUUCAGUUAACUACCUUACCGUGCUCCGUGGCAAGUAAAGCCUCACUGCAUUCAGAAA